This 465-nucleotide ribosomal RNA is filed under the name Didymella sp. CJL-2014. RNAcentral describes it as "eukaryotic LSU rRNA". The stretch from base 103 to 256 matches the Rfam family "5.8S ribosomal RNA". The record is from RNAcentral. Lineage: Eukaryota; Fungi; Ascomycota; Dothideomycetes; Pleosporales; Didymellaceae.
UGUCUUUUGAGUACCUUCGUUUCCUCGGCGGGUUCGCCCGCCGAUUGGACAAUUUAAACCAUUUGCAGUUGCAAUCAGCGUCUGAAAAAACAUAAUAGUUACAACUUUCAACAACGGAUCUCUUGGUUCUGGCAUCGAUGAAGAACGCAGCGAAAUGCGAUAAGUAGUGUGAAUUGCAGAAUUCAGUGAAUCAUCGAAUCUUUGAACGCACAUUGCGCCCCUUGGUAUUCCAUGGGGCAUGCCUGUUCGAGCGUCAUUUGUACCUUCAAGCUCUGCUUGGUGUUGGGUGUUUGUCUCGCCUCUGCGCGUAGACUCGCCUCAAAACAAUUGGCAGCCGGCGUAUUGAUUUCGGAGCGCAGUACAUCUCGCGCUUUGCAUUCAGAACGACGACGUCCAAAAGUACAUUUUUACACUCUUGACCUCGGAUCAGGUAGGGAUACCCGCUGAACUUAAGCAUAUCAAUAA